AUUGUGUCACCGACCAUAGGCAUGAACUGUGAACAAAGCAAAAGCAGCACUGUGACUGAAAACAGAAAAUUCUUGCAAGCAAUAGCGUCUGUCUUAGAACGAUGCAAUUAUAAGGUUAACAAAUAAUUGAACAAUCUAGGUGAAAUGUCAAAUACAUAAAAUACAAGUAAUGAAAAACAUACAGUAAGAUAUUAAUUGCAGAAGAUACAUAAUAAAUCAUAUAAUAACUGCAUAGAAUCAGAAAGAAAACACUUUUCCCAUAACACAGUGCAGUAUAAUGUGGACCUGAACAAACAGCGCCCCACUGCUAGUGUUGAGGAGAAAUGUAAAAGCUUACAGCACCUGGUAUUCCCAGGCGGUCUCCCAUCCAAGUACUAACCAGGCCCGACCCUGCUUAGCUUCCGAGAUCAGACGAGAUCGGGAGUGCUCAGGGUGGUAUGGCCGUAAGCGAGAGCAAAGCAUGACAGGAGCUCUUUUAAGCUUGGCAAGCCUCGCUGUUGCAUCUAUUUGCCUGAAUGUGGCGUUUAUAAAGGACUUAGAGCAUUUUGGGACGUACACAGAAGGUGGCCAUUUUGGCCUUAAACACAAUAUCCCCUUUUUUGUAUUUCGCUCUCCCUUUAAACAAAUAAAUAGAUAGAAGCCAAAAUCAUUACUUGUAUUGUGUCACCGACCAUAGGCAUGAACUGUGAACAAAGCAAAAGCAGCACUGUGACUGAAAACAGAAAAUUCUUGCAAGCAAUAGCGUCUGUCUUAGAACGAUGCAAUUAUAGAGUUAACAAAUAAUUGAACAAUCUAGGUGAAAUGUCAAAUACAUAAAAUACAAGUAAUGAAAAACAUAAGAUAUUAAUUGCAGAAGAUACAUAAUAAAUCAUAUAAUAACUGCAUAGAAUCAGAAAGAAAACACUUUUCCCAUAACACGGUGCAGUAUAUUGUGGACCUCAGCAAACAGCCCGCUCUGCUAGGUUUAAGGAGAAAAAAGCUUAGGUGCUGUAAGCUUUUACAUUUCUCCUCAACACUAGCAGAGCGGGCUGUUUGUUCAGGUCCACAUUAUACUGCACCGUGUUAUGGGAAAAGUGUUUUCUUUCUGAUUCUAUGCAGUUAUUAUAUGAUUUAUUAUGUAUCUUCUGCAAUUAAUAUCUUAUGUUUUUCAUUACUUGUAUUUUAUGUAUUUGACAUUUCACCUAGAUUGUUCAAUUAUUUGUUAACUCUAUAAUUGCAUCGUUCUAAGACAGACGCUAUUGCUUGCAAGAAUUUUCUGUUUUCAGUCACAGUGCUGCUUUUGCUUUGUUCACAGUUCAUGCCUAUGGUCGGUGACACAAUACAAGUAAUGAUUUUGGCUUCUAUCUAUUUAUUUGUUUAAAGGGAGAGCGAAAUACAAAAAAGGGGAUAUUGUGUUUAAGGCCAAAAUGGCCACCUUCUGUGUACGUCCCAAAAUGCUCUAAGUCCUUUAUAAACGCCACAUUCAGGCAAAUAGAUGCAACAGCGAGGCUUGCCAAGCUUAAAAGAGCUCCUGUCAUGCUUUGCUCUCGCUUACGGCCAUACCACCCUGAGCACGCCCGAUCUCGUCUGAUCUCGGAAGCUAAGCAGGGUCGGGCCUGGUUAGUACUUGGAUGGGAGACCGCCUGGGAAUACCAGGUGCUGUAAGCUUUUACAUUUCUCCUCAACACUAGCAGAGCGGGCUGUUUGUUCAGGUCCACAUUAUACUGCACCGUGUUAUGGGAAAAGUGUUUUCUUUCUGAUUCUAUGCAGUUAUUAUAUGAUUUAUUAUGUAUCUUCUGCAAUUAAUAUCUUAUGUUUUUCAUUACUUGUAUUUUAUGUAUUUGACAUUUCACCUAGAUUGUUCAAUUAUUUGUUAACUCUAUAAUUGCAUCGUUCUAAGACAGACGCUAUUGCUUGCAAGAAUUUUCUGUUUUCAGUCACAGUGCUGCUUUUGCUUUGUUCACAGUUCAUGCCUAUGGUCGGUGACACAAUACAAGUAAUGAUUUUGGCUUCUAUCUAUUUAUUUGUUUAAAGGGAGAGCGAAAUACAAAAAAGGGGAUAUUGUGUUUAAGGCCAAAAUGGCCACCUUCUGUGUACGUCCCAAAAUGCUCUAAGUCCUUUAUAAACGCCACAUUCAGGCAAAUAGAUGCAACAGCGAGGCUUGCCAAGCUUAAAAGAGCUCCUGUCAUGCUUUGCUCUCGCUUACGGCCAUACCACCCUGAGCACGCCCGAUC
Molecule: long non-coding RNA, 2213 nt
Organism: Betta splendens (Siamese fighting fish)
Lineage: Eukaryota; Metazoa; Chordata; Actinopteri; Anabantiformes; Osphronemidae
Source: Ensembl